UACGGAGGAUCCGAGCGUUAUCCGGAUUUAUUGGGUCUAAAGGGAGCGUAGGCGGGUUGUUAAGUCAGUUGUGAAAGUUUGCGGCUCAACCGUAAAAUUGCAGUUGAUACUGGCAUCCUUGAGUACAGUAGAGGUAGGCGGAAUUCGUGGUGUAGCGGUGAAAUGCUUAGAUAUCACGAAGAGCUCCGAUUGCGAAGGCAGCCUGCUGGACUGUAACUGACGCUGAUGCUCGAAAGUGUGGGUAUCAAACAGG
RNAcentral lists this ribosomal RNA (253 nucleotides) under uncultured bacterium. RNAcentral's name for it is "partial 16S ribosomal RNA". It matches the Rfam family "Bacterial small subunit ribosomal RNA", at positions 524 to 776 of the family's 1533-position model. The record is from RNAcentral.